This is a ribosomal RNA of 876 nucleotides. It matches the Rfam family "Eukaryotic large subunit ribosomal RNA", at positions 64 to 958 of the family's 3401-position model.
ACCAACAGGGAUUGCCUCAGUAACGGCGAGUGAAGCGGCAACAGCUCAAAUUUGAAAUCUGGCCCUCUCAGGGUCCGAGUUGUAAUUUGGAGAAGAUGCUUCGGGUGUGGCCCCGGUCUAAGUUCCUUGGAACAGGACGUCACAGAGGGUGAGAAUCCCGUACGUGACCGGUGGCCUCCCCCGUGUGAAGCUCUUUCGACGAGUCGAGUUGUUUGGGAAUGCAGCUCAAAAUGGGUGGUAAAUUUCAUCUAAAGCUAAAUAUUGGCCAGAGACCGAUAGCGCACAAGUAGAGUGAUCGAAAGAUGAAAAGCACUUUGGAAAGAGAGUUAAACAGUACGUGAAAUUGUUGAAAGGGAAGCGCUUGCAACCAGACUUGCGCGCGGCCGAUCAUCUGGUGUUCUCACCGGUGCACUCGGCCGCGCUCAGGCCAGCAUCGGUUUGGGUGGCUGGAUAAAGGCCUCGGGAAUGUGGCUCUCUUCGGGGAGUGUUAUAGCCCGAGGUGCAAUGCAGCCUACCCGGACCGAGGACCGCGCUUCGGCUAGGAUGCUGGCGUAAUGGUUGUAAGCGACCCGUCUUGAAACACGGACCAAGGAGUCUAACAUCUAUGCGAGUGUUUGGGUGUCAAACCCAUACGCGUAAUGAAAGUGAACGGAGGUGAGAACCCUUAAGGGUGCAUCAUCGACCGAUCCUGAUGUCUUCGGAUGGAUUUGAGUAAGAGCAUAGCUGUUGGGACCCGAAAGAUGGUGAACUAUGCCUGAAUAGGGUGAAGCCAGAGGAAACUCUGGUGGAGGCUCGCAGCGGUUCUGACGUGCAAAUCGAUCGUCAAAUUUGGGCAUAGGGGGCGAAGACUAAUCGAACCAUCUAGUAGCUGGUCUG